CAUGUAUUGAAACAAGGCAUAAAAAUCGUGACCGUCUCGAUCAAUCCGAAAUGGGAUAUGCUGGUUACUUAUUGACUCGCCCUCGCAUCAAGAUAGCACAGAUGUACAGGCAGGAUGUCCUAGGUCUCCCACAAGAUUAUAACGAAGGG
Long non-coding RNA from Ostrea edulis (European flat oyster), 149 nucleotides. RefSeq lists it as uncharacterized. NCBI's taxonomy places the organism in Eukaryota, Metazoa, Mollusca, Bivalvia, Ostreida, Ostreidae. The record is from RefSeq and is a predicted model, not a curated record. The transcript is spliced from 2 exons.